RNAcentral lists this ribosomal RNA (253 nucleotides) under uncultured bacterium. RNAcentral describes it as "partial 16S ribosomal RNA". It matches the Rfam family "Bacterial small subunit ribosomal RNA", at positions 524 to 776 of the family's 1533-position model. The record is from RNAcentral.
UACAGAGGUCCCAAGCGUUGUUCGGAUUCACUGGGCGUAAAGGGUGCGUAGGCGGUCGGGUAAGUCUGAUGUGAAAUCUCACAGCUUAACUGUGAAACUGCAUUGGAUACUAUCCGGCUUGAGGAAUGGAGGGGAGACUGGAAUACUUGGUGUAGCAGUGAAAUGCGUAGAUAUCAAGUGGAACACCAGUGGCGAAGGCGAGUCUCUGGACAUUUCCUGACGCUGAGGCACGAGAGCCAGGGGAGCAAACGGG